AUGAUAAAUGAUUUAGGUUUUUUUUUUUUUUUUUUUUUUUUUUUAAAUAACGGGUUUGUUUCAUUUGCAUCAAAACAUGAAAAUUUUGGACUUUGAAAGUUCUUGUGAAAACGUCGACCCUUAGAAAAGAAAUUUAGUAAAAGAACUUAGUGAUUGUUUAAAAAUAAUUUUAACAAAGGAUUUAUUGAUGUUGGAAAGAGUAUUUGGUAAACGGUCAUAUAACAUCUAUGAGGUCUUAUAAGUAAUUGAGAAAGGUUAGUUUGAUUUCGAUUAAGAGUGGAAGUCUCUAGUAUGAUGAUAUAAUGUGAACGUGUUUCAGUUAAUAAAUCAGAUGUGAAGUUCAUGGGCAAGAGAUUCAUUAGACCGAUUAAAUUGAUAGGUAGCAUUUCGUAAGGUUUGGAAAUUCGUGUAGUAAAACGGUAAAGACAUGAUUAAGAAUCUCGUGUAUAUGAUUUGAGUGAAAAUGGAUGGUAGAAUAAGAAGUACGUUUGAUAAACAAUGUAUUUUGAAAUCGGUAUAAGUAGGUAUUUUGAAUAAUGAUAAAUGAUUUAGGUAUAAAACAUGAUCGGGUUUGCAUAAUAAAAUAUUUUGAAAG
Molecule: long non-coding RNA, 595 nt
Filed under: Helianthus annuus (common sunflower)
Lineage: Eukaryota; Viridiplantae; Streptophyta; Magnoliopsida; Asterales; Asteraceae
Source: RNAcentral